Long non-coding RNA from Dromaius novaehollandiae (emu), 1146 nucleotides. Lineage: Eukaryota; Metazoa; Chordata; Aves; Casuariiformes; Dromaiidae. The record is from Ensembl.
AGAAGUAUAUAUUAUACAUAUUUGUUUUACAGCUAGCAAAGGUUUUUCUAGAUAAUGCAUCUACACGAAUAUUUUCAAAGUUUAAUUCAGGAAAAAAUGCUCUGCUAGCUGCUGCCCUUAAUAAACCUACAUCAAAUGCUUUUGAAAAUUGCCAUCGAUACAGUUACUUUACAAUGAAAGAUGCCUCUGUGCACAUGCAUAUGUGUAUAUGCAUAUACAUACUAUAUAAAUUAGCUCUGAAUAUAUAAAGAAGGUGUUAGUGCAUGGGAAUGGAUGAAUUAGGAGAGCCUAAUUUCCUGAGUUUUUGCAAUGCUAUCAAAAUUUUAACUCCAGGGUUCUUAAUGCUGUAGACCACUCAGUAUUUUAGACUUUAAAGACUUUAGACUAUAAAAGGUUUUGUGGUACUGUUCUUAGCCCUUUAACAACAAAGUGUGCUUUAAGACUGUUGCUCAAACCUUACAUUAUCUUUAAAAUAUUUAUCUUAAGAUUUAAAGUAAAAUAUUUUAAGGCACUGUUGUAUGAAUUAGGAUUUAUUUUUAGAUGUAAAGGGUCAUAUGCAAUGUCAUUAAACCAGGCCCUGUCUCACACUCCCCAUCAAACUCCUCUCCUAGCCCCCUCCAAUUAGGAAGCCACAACAGAAAUUUUCAAAUCUAUUUUUCAGUUUCCCUAACUUCCCCGGCUGCARUCAUGAUGCACUGCGGUAAUUUUCUUCUCUCUGCUAAAAACCCCUCAGUAACAUGGGGAUGACAAGAUGCCUGGGACGAGGAAGUGAAAGACUGAACACUGAAAGAGCUAUUUGACCUGCAGCAUGCUGUGGGCAGUCCCACUUGAAUCUGUCGUGUCAGUGACACCAAUAAAACCACUGGGCACUGAUACUACUAAGGGACUUCUUACUACCAAACCUUUUGGAGAAGAGAUCAGAAGACUUCAAGGAGCUGUGGAUAGAGAAGAAGGUGCUAAUCAGCUUGUCACGAUCCCGGGUGUGACAAAGAAGCCCCACCUGGUAUGCUUCCUCACCUUCCUCCUCUUAACACACCACGAAGCGUCCACCGUCUGUAUGUAAACAGUCAUUACUGCCAUGGCAAUCCAGCUCAGUAGAAUGUAACUCAAAAUAAAGUUCCUCUAUCAAUAUUUGUUCUACUUCUG